Molecule: long non-coding RNA, 1294 nt
Organism: Xiphophorus maculatus (southern platyfish)
Lineage: Eukaryota; Metazoa; Chordata; Actinopteri; Cyprinodontiformes; Poeciliidae
Exons: 3
Source: RefSeq, a predicted model, not a curated record
UGUUUACCCGCCAAAUGUGAAGACUGACAGAUAAGCGGAAAUGCACUAUCAAAAUAAAAGCCGGGUCUGAAUCCUUCAAUGCUGACGUGUCGCCGUUGCUGUAGAUCCAGAGCUAAACGUCUGAAUUGCUUUUUAAACUGAACUGUUGUUUAAGAAAAGACGAAAUUAAACAACGACGAAGAGAUGACAGGAAGCGAUUCGGAAGACCCAACUUCCGGUUAACGCUGUCAGGACAAAGAAGCUGCUAGAAACUGGGAACAGGAAAAUGAAAGCUUGGUGCGAUAAAACUGCAGCUCAGGCUGAGCUGACCUUUUGACCCCUGAUGGAGGGCAGCAGGCCUGAAUGCUCCGCGUGGCUCUGCGUGUCACAGUGGCAGAACUCCGAGGCCCACGGCCAUUCCUGUGUGAGCCCGCGAUAAAAGAGGGGAGCUUCCCGUCGGUCCUCCUCACCCCGCUCCCCCAUGAAGAGCGACUUGGCAGGGUAAUUAAGAAUGGCCUCUAAACACGGCAGCAUGGCAGCAACGCUCCAGAUGAAAGUAAAUGAUUAAAAUAAUUACAGGCUGAGCGCUGAUGAGCCGCAGUGAGGGCUGGCCGCCGGACAUCGGGCGGUAAUUAGAUAAUUAAUCUGAAUGCAAAUGAUGAGCCCUAACGAAGCAGUCAGGCUGAACCAGCGACAACUGCCGAGAGUGAGGAAGAGUGAGGAAGAGUGAGGAAGAGGGAGGAAGAGAGGAGGGAGAAGGGAGGGGGAGAGGAGGAACGCAUGAAAAUGAGAGAAAAAGCUGCAGCUUCUGCUGUAAACCAACAGGAAGAGAAAAGUUUCACUGCUCCUGACAGCAUCUGCUGAGUUAAAAAUAAACAAAACAGCGCCUGCAUGAGCAAAACACCGAAAUGAGAAAUGAAGAUGAAAAACCACCUGAGGAGAAAAACAGCGCAGGCUGAGCACACGCUGGAACUGCAAGAGCAAACAGUGGAUUUUCACAGAAACGCUCAUUAUUUCUGCUGCUCCUCUUCCUCUGCAGCGCCGAGGUAAACAGCCUCUGAAACGGCGCGCACCUGGCAGACAGAACCCACCUCUGACCCGGACCAGAACCGUUUCAUCUGGAUCUGCAGACACACAACCAGAACCGGCCAGGAUUACUUACACUCUUCAUCACCUUUAUUAACAACACAUGGAGGUCCAAUUCAAUCAGAUGAAAUGACUUACAUUUACUAAAAAACAACUUUAGGAGAAUUUUUACUCCUUCUGGAGUUCUACAUCAUCUAGUUCUACAUCAUCUACUUCUACACCAUCUAGU